UACCAUCAAUUGGACGCGAAAAGGCGGCUAAGAUGCAAGGAGAAGUAUAAUUGUCAGAGUAAUCGCAGUAUGGAUCACCUGAUGAGAUUUAAAAACGCUUAGGUUCAGCUUCUCGUCUGCGGCUGCCAAGGACCAGAUGGCCCAAGAUCUCUCACAUUCCCAAAAAAUCCUGAUGAAUUCUUCUCUUCGAGGGAAUUUGUGUUGAACGAUGCUGCUGUAAAUUCAUCACAGUCAUAUCUCUACCCAAUCGCGAGAGAGUGGAGGCAUGUUCCCAUUGCUUACCUCAAUCAUAAACGUGCCAAAGCUCAAGUGAUGAUUGAGGAAACUCUUGGUAUCCUCAAAAAUAGUGGCAAAUCCUACAACGCUCUCAUUCUACUUGCCAUACAAGAAACGAAUGAGGCUGCCUGAUCACUUAAGCUUGCAUAAUUCUCCAUAACCUUUUGGUUGAGACAAGGAAGGCCUCGCUGAUUAAGUUUGAGGGGGCCCAAGUGGUGAAUAUUCGUGAAAGGGCCGCUGAAACCGGCGACGAAGCAGCAAAUAGAACAGGAGGGAUGAAGUCCUUGCGUAAAUGACCGGAGAUGAACUUUGAAGACAUCCCGAGUUUGGUACGUUUCAAUCAAAACUUCUACAAAUUUCGUCUAAAAACAGCCUAAAACGCGGGAAAAGCUGUUGGCCAAGCGCUUAUGCGCUUGGAAUGCGAACUGUAAAAGAUGAGAUGUGC
This 721-nucleotide small RNA is filed under the name Cryptococcus neoformans H99. RNAcentral's name for it is "Cryptococcus neoformans var. grubii H99 hypothetical RNA". Lineage: Eukaryota; Fungi; Basidiomycota; Tremellomycetes; Tremellales; Cryptococcaceae. The record is from RNAcentral.